AUGUUGAUGGUUCAGUGGUAGAACUCUCCUGCCUUCCACGCAGGAGACCCAGGUUCGAUUCCUGGCCAAUGCA
Molecule: transfer RNA, 73 nt
Filed under: Loxodonta africana (African savanna elephant)
Lineage: Eukaryota; Metazoa; Chordata; Mammalia; Proboscidea; Elephantidae
Rfam family: tRNA
About the family: Transfer RNA (tRNA) molecules are approximately 80 nucleotides in length.
Source: Rfam by way of RNAcentral